UUCACUGUUUUGGGAAGAGAGAUAGAGUCUAGAGAGGCAAUCAUACAACUAGAUGCAGCUGAUAAGUGGUCAUAAGAGACAAAGUUAGCAAUGGAAUAUGUGGAUUUACACUGACGUGUACCUUUUCGAAGAGCAAUAGGGAGGUCAAGAUUUUCUGGAGGAUCAAGCGGAGUAACAUCUGAUGAUAAAGGAAUUGUAUCAUCGAUUUCCCGCCUCCUCGAGUAAACUUGAACAAUUGGUGGUCUUGCUGGCGUAGAUACAAUAG
Molecule: long non-coding RNA, 265 nt
Filed under: Solanum tuberosum (potato)
Lineage: Eukaryota; Viridiplantae; Streptophyta; Magnoliopsida; Solanales; Solanaceae
Description: long non-coding RNA (STUB_LNC004387)
Source: RNAcentral